AGAUACCCUACUAUGCCCAACCACAAACACAGAUUUUUUUUAUCCGCCAGAGAACAACGAGCUAACGCUUAAAACUCAAAGGACUUGGCGGCACUCCACACCACCCUAGAGGGGCCUGUCACAUAAUCGAUAGCCCACGAUACACCUCACCCUCUCUCCCCGCCUAUAUACCGCCGUCGCAAGCCCAUCUUUUAAGAGGAACCAAAUGGGCCCAACAGUCUUUGCACGAAUACGACAGGUCAAGGUGUAGCCCAUGAGGCGGCGAAUGAUGGACCACAUUGCCCAUAAGGCCAAACUAAAAUUGUAAUGAAAUAAGCACUUUAAGGUGAAUUUAACAGUAAGGCGGACAAGAAAGCCCGCCUAAAGGUUGCUCCGGAGCGUGCACACACCGCCCGUCAC
RNAcentral lists this ribosomal RNA (399 nucleotides) under Rhampholeon beraduccii (Beraduccis pygmy chameleon). RNAcentral's name for it is "12S ribosomal RNA". It matches the Rfam family "Bacterial small subunit ribosomal RNA", at positions 780 to 1400 of the family's 1533-position model. The record is from RNAcentral. Lineage: Eukaryota; Metazoa; Chordata; Lepidosauria; Squamata; Chamaeleonidae.